AAAAAAUUUAAUUAUUAUUUAAUAGAUUUAUUUUAUGAUUGUAAUAUAAAUAAUUAUUUGAAAUUUAUUAUUUUUUUAAAAAAUAAUGAUAAUUUAUAAUUAAUAUUUAUAAUAAUUGAAACUUAAUAAUUUAAGAAAUAGUAAAUUAUAUUUUAAAUAGGAAUAAAAUUAGUGCCAGCAAUUGCGGUUAAACUAGUGUUUGACUAUGAGUAAAUUUAGAAAAUUUAAAAAUAUUUAAAAUUAAAAUUGUAUCAUAGUUAUAUAAAAGUAAAAUAUUAUAAGGUGAAAUUUUAAUAUUUAUUGAGGUAAUAUUGGUAAAAAUAAUUUAGAUAAAUUGUAAAAUUAAUGAAUAGACUAGGAUUUGGUACCCUAUUAUUUAAAUUAAGAAAAAUUAAAUUAAAAAAUAAAUGUAAGGAUCAUUAAAUUUAAAUAAUUUGGCGGUAUUUUAAUUUGUUAGGGGAACUUGUAAGGUAAAUGAUAAUCCACGAUAGGAGGGUCUUAGUAUAUUUUUGCGUACUGUUGUUUAAAAAUUGUUUUAAGAGAAGGUAAUUAAAAAAUUUAAGGUUUAAGUAAUAAUUCAAAUCAAAGUGUAGAAUUAUUAAGUUUGUAUGAGUUACUUUUAAUUUUAUUAUGGGAGGGAUAAUUUUAAUAAUUAUAUUUGAAUAAGUAUUUAAUAGUAAAUAAGAUAAAAUUUUAUUAGUUGAAAUUUUUUUAAAAUGUGUACAAAUCGCCCGUCAUUUUCGCGAAAGUUAGGAAUGAUAUAAGCGAAAGAAGUCGUAACAAAGUAAACGUACAGGAAUGUGUGUUUAGAUUUAU
Molecule: non-coding RNA, 816 nt
Filed under: Stenamma megamanni
Lineage: Eukaryota; Metazoa; Arthropoda; Insecta; Hymenoptera; Formicidae
Source: RNAcentral